AAGAUUAAACUUGAUUAACAUGAGGUGUUCUAGAAUCAUCUUGUACUAGCUAGAAAAAUCUUUCAUAAAAAUCAAUGUAUUAAACUAGACAAUUCUAGGAGGAUACUAGAUACUUCUCAAAUAAAAUCCAUAGGCAUCAAUCUAGAAAAUUCUAUAAACUUGUAGAAUCAUUCAAGUAUCUAGAUCCCUCCAUGGAGUAGUAUAAAUAUGUGAUGUUGUAACUCAUUUUGUAAUCAAGAAAAUCAAUAAAA
Molecule: long non-coding RNA, 251 nt
Filed under: Nicotiana benthamiana
Lineage: Eukaryota; Viridiplantae; Streptophyta; Magnoliopsida; Solanales; Solanaceae
Description: long non-coding RNA (NBEN_LNC018305)
Source: RNAcentral